Molecule: ribosomal RNA, 472 nt
Filed under: uncultured bacterium
Lineage: Bacteria
Description: bacterial SSU rRNA
Rfam family: Bacterial small subunit ribosomal RNA
Source: RNAcentral
UGGGGAAUAUUGGACAAUGGGCGAAAGCCUGAUCCAGCCAUGCCGCGUGUGUGAAGAAGGUCUUCGGAUUGUAAAGCACUUUAAGUUGGGAGGAAGGGCAUUUACCUAAUACGUAAGUGUUUUGACGUUACCGACAGAAUAAGCACCGGCUAACUCUGUGCCAGCAGCCGCGGUAAUACAGAGGGUGCAAGCGUUAAUCGGAAUUACUGGGCGUAAAGCGCGCGUAGGUGGUUUGUUAAGUUGGAUGUGAAAUCCCCGGGCUCAACCUGGGAACUGCAUUCAAAACUGACAAGCUAGAGUAUGGUAGAGGGUGGUGGAAUUUCCUGUGUAGCGGUGAGAUGCGUAGAUAUAGGAAGGAACACCAGUGGCGAAGGCGACCACCUGGACUGAUACUGACACUGAGGUGCGAAAGCGUGGGGAGCAAACAGGAUUAGAUACCCCCGUAGUCCCUGAGCGGGCUGGCAAGGCGCAU